UUCCGUGAACACUCCCAGGCU
This 21-nucleotide non-coding RNA is filed under the name Caenorhabditis elegans. The record is from RNAcentral. Lineage: Eukaryota; Metazoa; Nematoda; Chromadorea; Rhabditida; Rhabditidae.